GCAAGUCGAGCGGUAACAGAGAUAGCUUGCUAUCUGCUGACGAGCGGCGGACGGGUGAGUAAUGCUUGGGAAUAUGCCUUUGAGUGGGGGACAACAGUUGGAAACGACUGCUAAUACCGCAUAACGUCUACGGACCAAAGGGGGGGAUUCUUCGGAACCUCUCGCUCAUAGAUUAGCCCAAGUGAGAUUAGCUAGAUGGUGGGGUAAUGGCCUACCAUGGCGACGAUCUCUAGCUGGUUUGAGAGGAUGAUC
This 252-nucleotide ribosomal RNA is filed under the name uncultured bacterium. Its description in RNAcentral is "partial 16S ribosomal RNA". It matches the Rfam family "Bacterial small subunit ribosomal RNA", at positions 57 to 305 of the family's 1533-position model. The record is from RNAcentral.